RNAcentral lists this ribosomal RNA (439 nucleotides) under uncultured bacterium. RNAcentral's name for it is "partial 16S ribosomal RNA". It matches the Rfam family "Bacterial small subunit ribosomal RNA", at positions 339 to 795 of the family's 1533-position model. The record is from RNAcentral.
CUACGGGACGCACCAGUGGGGAAUCUUAGACAAUGGGCGCAAGCCUGAUCUAGCCAUGCCGCGUGAGUGACGAAGGCCUUAGGGUCGUAAAGCUCUUUCGCUGGGGAAGAUAAUGACGGUACCCAGUAAAGAAACCCCGGCUAAUUCCGUGCCAGCAGCCGCGGUAAUACGGAGGGGGUUAGCGUUGUUCGGAAUUACUGGGCGUAAAGCGCGCGUAGGCGGAUCAGAAAGUUGGGGGUGAAAUCCCGGGGCUCAACCCCGGAACUGCCUUCAAAACUCCUGGUCUUGAGUUCGAGAGAGGUGAGUGGAAUGCCGAGUGUAGAGGUGAAAUUCGUAGAUAUUCGGAGGAACACCAGUGGCGAAGGCGGCUCACUGGCUCGAUACUGACGCUGAGGUGCGAAAGCGUGGGGAGCAAACAGGAUUAGAUACCCGCGUAGUC